AAUUCUCUCAUGGGUUGUGGGAGCUCACAGCCCCAUCCCCAUACAUGGUUGUGGUCUCUCAGGAAGGCAGCAGUGUGGUCUACAAGAUGAAACUGCUGGGUCUUCUCCUGUGCCUGAUGACAAGUCCCCAUGGUGUCCUGUCCCAGGUGCAGCUACAGGAGUCGGGGUCUGGCCUGGUAAAGCCCUCACAGACCCUGUCCCUCACCUGCUCAGUCUCUGGAUUCUCCAUCACAACUACUAAUUACUGGUGGAGCUGGAUCCGUCAGCCCCCAGCAAAGAGCCUGGAGUGGAUGGGCCACAUAAGCUAUAGUGGUAGUACUUACUACAACCCGUCCUUCCAGAGCCGCAUCUCCAUCUCCAGAGACACAGGCAAGAACCAAUUCUCUCUGCAGCUGAACUCUCUCACCACAGAAGACACAGCCACCUAUUACUGUGCAAGAUACACAGUGUUUUGA
Molecule: non-coding RNA, 455 nt
Organism: Cavia porcellus (domestic guinea pig)
Lineage: Eukaryota; Metazoa; Chordata; Mammalia; Rodentia; Caviidae
Source: the annotation of a RefSeq genome assembly